GGAAAAGUGUGAAAAUUCAAGGAAACAAGUGAAAAAAGGUGGUGAAUCCUCCGAUAAAGGCAAAGAAAUUGUACCCGAGGAUUGAUAGUCAGAGUACUCUAAAAAUUCGACUCUCGAAAUAGCUCAAAAUAGGCUGUAGAUAGCUUAUAUCGUCGAAGGCUACAAUUGGCUUUACUUCCACAAAAAUCGUAAGUUCACAGCCUUCGUUCACUUUUGUCAUCUGAGGGCCCACGUGUCAUUGUAAAUUAAAUUUUAUACUUUGGUUAUCUGUAUUACAGUAUGUAUGAAUUUAUU
Molecule: small RNA, 294 nt
Filed under: Theobroma cacao (cacao)
Lineage: Eukaryota; Viridiplantae; Streptophyta; Magnoliopsida; Malvales; Malvaceae
Description: sRNA Tc02v2_g019020
Source: RNAcentral